RNAcentral lists this ribosomal RNA (468 nucleotides) under uncultured bacterium. RNAcentral's name for it is "partial 16S ribosomal RNA". It matches the Rfam family "Bacterial small subunit ribosomal RNA", at positions 28 to 507 of the family's 1533-position model. The record is from RNAcentral.
GACGAACGCUGGCGGCGUGCUUAACACAUGCAAGUCGAACGGAAAGGCCCUGCUUUUGUGGGGUGCCCGAGUGGCGAACGGGUGAGUAACACGUGAGUAACCUGCCCUUGACUUUGGGAUAACUUCAGGAAACUGGGGCUAAUACCGGAUAGGAGCUCCUGCUGCAUGGUGAGGGUUGGAAAGUUUCGGCGGUUGGGGAUGGACGCGCGGCUUAUCAGCUUGUUGGUGGGGUAGUGGCUUACCAAGGCUGUGACGGAUAGCCGGCCUGAGAGGGUGACCGGCCACAUUGGGACUGAGGGAGGGCCCAGACUGCUACGUGAGGCAGCAGGGGGGAGUAUUGCACAAUGGUCGGAAGCCGGAGGCAGCGACGUCGCGGGCGUGAUGACGGUCUUCGGGGUGUGAACCGCUGUCGCCUGUGACGAAGCGGUUGUGACGGUAAUGGGUAAAGAAGCACCGGCUAACUACGUG